This 724-nucleotide ribosomal RNA is filed under the name uncultured bacterium. Its description in RNAcentral is "bacterial SSU rRNA". It matches the Rfam family "Bacterial small subunit ribosomal RNA", at positions 28 to 776 of the family's 1533-position model. The record is from RNAcentral.
GAUGAACGCUGACAGAAUGCUUAACACAUGCAAGUCUACUUGAUCCUUCGGGUGAAGGUGGCGGACGGGUGAGUAACGCGUAAAGAACUUGCCUUACAGACUGGGACAACAUUUGGAAACGAAUGCUAAUACCGGAUAUUAUGACUGAGUCGCAUGAUUUGGUUAUGAAAGCUAUAUGCGCUGUGAGAGAGCUUUGCGUCCCAUUAGUUAGUUGGUGAGGUAACGGCUCACCAAGACGAUGAUGGGUAGCCGGCCUGAGAGGGUGAACGGCCACAAGGGGACUGAGACACGGCCCUUACUCCUACGGGAGGCAGCAGUGGGGAAUAUUGGACAAUGGACCAAAAGUCUGAUCCAGCAAUUCUGUGUGCACGAUGAAGUUUUUCGGAAUGUAAAGUGCUUUCAGUUGGGAAGAAGUCAGUGACGGUACCAACAGAAGAAGCGACGGCUAAAUACGUGCCAGCAGCCGCGGUAAUACGUAUGUCGCAAGCGUUAUCCGGAUUUAUUGGGCGUAAAGCGCGUCUAGGCGGUUUAGUAAGUCUGAUGUGAAAAUGCGGGGCUCAACCCCGUAUUGCGUUGGAAACUGCUAAACUAGAGUACUGGAGAGGUAGGCGGAACUACAAGUGUAGAGGUGAAAUUCGUAGAUAUUUGUAGGAAUGCCGAUGGGGAAGCCAGCCUACUGGACAGAUACUGACGCUAAAGCGCGAAAGCGUGGGUAGCAAACAGG